AUGUGUUCCGAAGUGAACUCUAGGAACAUAUCCCGUUGGAGUACUUUCGGGAGUAGAAAGAGGUGUAGAUAAGACCGGUGAGAUCCGACCCGAAUUUGGUGUUAAAUCGGUGUUGUUAGGCACCUGAUUUACCUGACCGAGAGACUCGCUUUCAGACAUGAUGUAAAGAGAAAAUGGAGCUACACAACUGGUCUUUAAGAUAAAGUUAGCGGCGUAGCCCCACGGUGGGCGCCAACUUGUUGAUGCAACGAAUACAAGACCAAGGCCUGUAGCGACAUCUCUGGGUAAAAGGGUUCAGGGGUUCGAUUAGCCUAACGCAGGUCGUGGGGUCCCUCCACGUUUGCAAAACGUAGAGAGAGGUUCACUAGUAAUGUUAUUGUUCUUUGCUAAUUCUAAGCUGAAAAGGUUCCAGCCCAGAAUGUGAUCGCGGAAGUUGUAUUUUGUGAGCGAAGAAGAGAACUUGUAAUGAACAAGUUCUUGAGGGAGAAGAGAGAGAUCAGAAGUUCAUGUGAGAUUACAACUGAUCUGGAGUGUGUUGAAUGCUGGACCUGACUUAUGUUUUAUAGGGAAAGGCAUCUCCCAAAGGAGAAGCUCUGGACUAGUGAACCAUGCUUGCAGUGGAGGACUUACCCAUUUAGGGGUUGAAGGGUUUGGACCUGCGGGUAAAAGAGUGUGCUCUCCCACAUGGUCUGGUUGCAGCUGGGCAGGAGGUUUCACACGUUAAGUGUUGAUGUGACAGGACACUGUGCUUGUCCUUUUUACUGUUCAUGACCGUUGGAACAUUUCUGAACCUUUUAACCUUUUAACCUUUUAAGCUGUUGUGUCUCUAAUCAGUUUAUUAAGGUUUGAGCUACCCCCGUCAUCAACAACUUUUGAAAGUUUCUACAUUAAGCUUUGUGGGGGUGAACUUAGUAAGUGACAUAAGUUUGAUGCCAAGAUUAUGAGUGGAGAUGUUUAAAAGAGGUGGCCAUAGUCCAAAUGUUUGCUUGUUGACCUCUUCCAGUUCAUGAAGCCUUUCUUGAGGAAUGCUGAA
RNAcentral lists this long non-coding RNA (1033 nucleotides) under Helianthus annuus (common sunflower). Lineage: Eukaryota; Viridiplantae; Streptophyta; Magnoliopsida; Asterales; Asteraceae. The record is from RNAcentral.